CCGUCCGAGUUGUAAUCUAGAGAAGCGUCUUCCGCGCUGGACCGUGUACAAGUCUCCUGGAAGGGAGCGUCAUAGAGGGUGAGAAUCCCGUCUUUGACACGGACCCCCAAGUGCUAUGUGAUGCGCUCUCGAAGAGUCGAGUUGUUUGGGAAUGCAGCUCAAAAUGGGUGGUAAAUUCCAUCUAAAGCUAAAUACAGGCGAGAGACCGAUAGCGAACAAGUACCGUGAGGGAAAGAUGAAAAGAACUUUGGAAAGAGAGUUAAACAGUACGUGAAAUUGCUGAAAGGGAAACGCUUGAUGUCAGUCGCGUCCGCCAGGGAUCAACCUUGCUUCAUUGCUGGGCGUAUUUCUUGGUCGGACGGGUCAGCAUCAGUUUCCAUCGUCGUACAAUGGCGGAGGGAACGUGGCACCUCUAGGGGUGUGUUAUA
This 428-nucleotide ribosomal RNA is filed under the name Phylloporus subbacillisporus. RNAcentral's name for it is "partial large subunit ribosomal RNA". It matches the Rfam family "Eukaryotic large subunit ribosomal RNA", at positions 134 to 560 of the family's 3401-position model. The record is from RNAcentral. Lineage: Eukaryota; Fungi; Basidiomycota; Agaricomycetes; Boletales; Boletaceae.